This 253-nucleotide ribosomal RNA is filed under the name uncultured bacterium. RNAcentral's name for it is "partial 16S ribosomal RNA". It matches the Rfam family "Bacterial small subunit ribosomal RNA", at positions 524 to 776 of the family's 1533-position model. The record is from RNAcentral.
UACGUAAGGUGCAAGCGUUAAUCGGAAUUACUGGGCGUAAAGCGUGCGCAGGCGGUUUUGUAAGUCUGUCGUGAAAUCCCCGGGCUCAACCUGGGAAUGGCGAUGGAGACUGCAAGGCUAGAAUCUGGCAGAGGGGGGUAGAAUUCCACGUGUAGCAGUGAAAUGCGUAGAGAUGUGGAGGAAUACCGAUGGCGAAGGCAGCCCCCUGGGAUAACACUGACGCUCAUGCACGAAAGCGUGGGGAGCAAACAGG